RNAcentral lists this long non-coding RNA (678 nucleotides) under Mytilus galloprovincialis (Mediterranean mussel). The record is from RNAcentral. Lineage: Eukaryota; Metazoa; Mollusca; Bivalvia; Mytilida; Mytilidae.
CAUAGGAAUAAUUUUUACAUUAAAAAAAGGCAGUGCAUUAAAUUUUGAAUCUACAGUCCUUAUCUUUGCAGGGCAUUUUAUCUUGAGGGUUGUUUAUACAAAAAAGUUUUAUAUGUAUAAAUGUUAUUUGCAGAAAUUCUAACAAAAACUUACUUAUUAUCAAAUGCAUCAGAACCAGAAUUAACAUAGUUCUGAUUAUUACAAAGGUAUAGAGAGUAACAUUCCUUGCUUAAAGUGAUAUAGAAGAAACUAUUUUUACAAUUUGUUAUUUCAGAAUCUAAAAGGUUAAAGUUAUUUCUAUUUUUGGUAUAUCAAAAUAAAAAUAAAAUUAUACUUUCAUUAAAUUUUUUUUGACAAAUUGCGUAUUAAAUACAAUGCACAAAGAGAAAGUUUUAGUUAUAGAUAAUGCUUUCAAUGGUUUAGAUUCUGAAGCAUCAAAUUAAGUAUUCAUUCCUGUUAUCUGUCCGUCAUGUUUGUAAUAUAGGGUUCAGAAGUAAUUUAUGAAAGUCAUUGUUAUAUAUUUUGUACAUACUAUAGCAUAAUGUAUUUUGUCCAUUUCUUUUUGUCAUUUUAAAUCAUGCGGUUUGACAGGGCUGAUAGUUAGAGCAAAGAUAACCAUGCAAAACCAAGGAAAUAUAUCUUGUAAGAAGGUUAUUUAUAGCAGUAAAUAUAAAAGCU